GUUAAACUACAAGUUUAACUCGCUAAAUAGUUAAAUUAAAUAGAAAGAAAGUAACAACGAUUAUUAAUUGUUAUAUCACUCCUCCUCGCAUAAAUACGCCACUUCGUUGAAACUUGUAAAUUAUAUCUUAGGAUACGCAUUUCUCUGUUAAUACACGUAGACGUAAAAUCCACCCCUUUUUCAUGCUAUUACACAUUUAUUAAAUUUAUAUUCUUAAUCACAAAUAUUACGGAAUUAUUCGUCCUUAAAAAUUAUUAGAUAUACUUAAAAUUACUUUACUUUCCAUUUUAAUCAGGAUUCAAGUUUCAUUUUUGAAUAUAUAUCUCGUUAUAUCUCGACGAUUUGUUAAAGAGAUGGGAAAUUGUCUAAUAUUCCUCGAAACAGGAACACGUGAAUGAUCUUUCGAUGAACUCUCACCCAAUUCAAUUUCGACGCCAUUUUUCCUUUCGCAUUUUCAGCUCGGUCUCUCAUUUCGGUCCUCCUCUUCUUUUCAUUCGUUCUAUCAAAGACCUCCAGAGAAUCUAGGACUCGAUUUUUGUCCUUUGAAU
Apis dorsata (giant honeybee) is the source of this 548-nucleotide long non-coding RNA. RefSeq lists it as uncharacterized. The record is from RefSeq and is a predicted model, not a curated record. Lineage: Eukaryota; Metazoa; Arthropoda; Insecta; Hymenoptera; Apidae. The transcript has 2 exons.